Erinaceus europaeus (western European hedgehog) is the source of this 107-nucleotide non-coding RNA. The record is from Rfam. Lineage: Eukaryota; Metazoa; Chordata; Mammalia; Eulipotyphla; Erinaceidae.
GUGCUUGAUUCAGCAGUACGUAUACUAAAAUCGGAACGAUACAGGAAAGGUCAGCAUGGCCCCAGCUCAAGGAGGACAUGCACAGUCUUGAAGCAUUCCAUGUUUUA